CGUGAAUGAAGUGGAAAACAGUUGAUGGGAGGAUAUGCAGGUUGUGCCUGAGGUCACAGAGUGCAGAAAGUGAAGGCCGUAGAGUACAGCUGAGAGCCAAGCGCCUCCUUAUUGGUCAGCCCGGACAGAAAAGGGGCGUGUCAAAGCGCGUGAGUCCGCCUAGAAAAAGUGAGGACAGAGACAGUGUCCAGAGCGGGAGGGUGAUGUCUGUCUUAUCCUCAGCUACGGCUCGGACGGAGCGAGAUGAGCCAUGAAUCCACCUCACUUUGAGUUGCCAUCUUUUCCAGCGCUCUGCAUACUAACAGCGUUACGUAAUUAUACAGUUAUACGAAUGACCGGGUUACGCCAAAAAACCACACACUACCGCACUAAAUACCGUACGAGGCGUAGUUUUGUGCGUACUGUUUCGACGGGUAGUGAUUCAACGCUCGCUUAAAGUUCGAGCCCGGUCAAAAACAAACAAACAAACAGCCGUUUGAAACGGGAAGCGCGUCGGUACUGAAAGUUGGAGGCAGGUCGAAAACUGUGUACAAGACUGAAGAACAUGGCGAGCCGGUAAACACCGCGACGUGAACAGGAACGAGGCAGCGAGCGGAAAAAGCCACUGACGACCGAGUUCAAGUCUUCAGAGAAAUUCGCUGAAAGCAAGGCUGACAACGAUGUGAAAACUCCGGUGAGUGUAUAAUAUUUAUGAUACAGUACUGCACGUUCACCAUGACGGUUUAUCUCCGAAUUUAUCCACCGGAAAUGUUCAGUUUAAAAAUGUUUUCAAGUCUACACCGGGUUACCCGGAAAUGACCUCAUUAGAACGACCGGACUAUUUCACUAGAUCAUACAUGUUCAGUGUUUUUACCACUUAGCUUCUCAGUUAUAUCUACAGUCUCUGGUCGAACUGGGAAGUUCCUUGUGAGUGUGGAAAAUGUAAAUAUAUCACAUUUGAUUCUAUAUAUGAGAAUAAAUUUGCAUAACCUGUUUAUUUCUUCCUUCAUGUAGGGAACGCUUACUAAUGAGUUCAUUUUGUAGCUUCUGCUACCUCUCUUCUGAACGUAACCGGAAGUCAGUAAUGUCUGUAGGCCUGCAGAUGUUCUGCAGUUGCAUGAUCUGCCCCGCUAUGUGCCCUUUUGCUCUGGUUUUCUUCUGCCUCAGAGGACAGGGUGUUCUUCAUUUACAAAAGAAGCAAUGGAUCUUAAGUUAUUCCAAGUAGAGUUAGAAAUUUGGAGAUUAGUCUACUGCAGAGGAAAGAAAGAUGUACUACUGUAAGCAUUUUGAUUUGCAGUAGUUUGCAUGUUAACAGUAGUAUAGACUUUUUUUUUUUUUUUUUUUUUUUUUUUUUUUUAAAUGGCUUGUGAGAAGAGAAGGAGUGGGACUGUGUGUCAUUUGUUAUUGUAUGUCAAAUAGUGGGCUCCCUCUGAGUAUGGAAAGUUGGCUUUCUUGGGAGUGUUCCCAUGGAGAUAGG
Long non-coding RNA from Ictalurus punctatus (channel catfish), 1456 nucleotides. NCBI's taxonomy places the organism in Eukaryota, Metazoa, Chordata, Actinopteri, Siluriformes, Ictaluridae. The record is from Ensembl.